CUUAGCUUGUUUGUUAAAAUGCAUGGAUCAAAUUCCAGAGACCCAAGGGAGAGAUCUCCACCACCAUAGUCACCAUCAAUCUCGUCUUCUUCUCCUCCAUCUGCAAUAAUAAUAAUAAAGCACCCAUGUCUAAAUUUAAAAGCAUAAAAAUAAAUAAUAUAUUGACAAAAAAAAAGAAAAAAGAAAAAAAUUACCUUCUAUUUCAUAUAAACUGAAAGAUGGUUUAAUAUUAUUAUUGUUACCAUUGUGAUUAGCAUCAUCUUCCUUUUUGAUAUUGCUAGAAUUAAACCAACUUCGUAGCCUCCUAUAAUACCUUAUUGGCAUCUUUUUAUGUACCUCCAUGGCUAAAGAAGAAGAAGAAGAAGAAUAAAAGGAGAUUUAGAAAAAGAAGAAGAAGAAUUGGAUUUUGAGUCCAUGCAUGGGAAGAGAGGAUCCAAGAAAAUAGGCAAAAUGAGCCAAUAGAAGAACAUUCUCUUCUGCUUUUUCGAUCUUCACAUCAUCCAAUAUGAAAUAAAUUAAAGUUGGUUGGUUGGGUUUGCAAUAAAAAUGGGUUUUUAUUGUGUUAAUCGUCCCUAUGCAAAAACAAGAGGGAAGUGACAAAAUAGUGAGAGAGAGAGAGAGAGAAAGAAUAGCUUAGGUUCUUCAAAUUGGGUUACUAAUCCUACUUCUUUUCAGCGUUAAACACGAGGGAGGGAAAUAAGAAGAAGAAGUAGGAGUAGUAGUCAUUAGUCAAGU
This 735-nucleotide long non-coding RNA is filed under the name Arachis ipaensis. Its description in RNAcentral is "long non-coding RNA (AIPA_LNC002554)". The record is from RNAcentral. Lineage: Eukaryota; Viridiplantae; Streptophyta; Magnoliopsida; Fabales; Fabaceae.